This is a long non-coding RNA of Oryza brachyantha (malo sina), 1759 nucleotides long. RefSeq lists it as uncharacterized. Lineage: Eukaryota; Viridiplantae; Streptophyta; Magnoliopsida; Poales; Poaceae. The record is from RefSeq and is a predicted model, not a curated record. The transcript has 3 exons.
CGGCCGGCCGCCUCACCCCGGCGUGAGGUGCACCGGUCAGCGACCCCCUUCCGUGCGUCGCUUGGUUGGGUUGGGUUUGGCGCGCGGCGGCCGGGGUGGUCGCUGGUCGGGGAGCCGGCGACGGAGGAGGAGGAAGGGGAGGAGGGUGGAAGGGAUGACGUCGUGGCUAAUCGGAGAAGCCUCUCGGCGCCUCUUGCAAGUUUGCAGGAGAUGGAUCAUGGGUGUUCCCUAAGUUCAUGCUGAAUAUUCUCCCAUAGAUGGAAUGAUGUUCUAAUGCAUCAAAUGAAUUGUAUUAUUGCAUUUCAGAUUUACUUGGGGGCAAUGGGCAAUAGGAUGCCUUAGGAGCAACUACUGUUGGUGGUCAUGCCCACCAAACCUUUCAGAUCUGGGGUUUUGUUUUGUGGACAUUCUGAACAGACAUACAACAUAGAGGGUCCAUGCACGCCUUCACAAUAUUGCAGUGGAAAGAGAAGCACAACAUUUGUCCAUUUGGUUUCUGUCCAACCUAAAUACCUGGAUGAUGAUGAUGUGGUAGGUCCUCAUGUUUCACUGGCGUAGAUCAUCUCCACGUGGUACAUCAGGUGGCAUGUUAGUGAACUUUACCAAUGUAGUACAUGACAACACCCAUAACUUCGGAGUUCCAGACUUGGGAACAGAUCCUGUUAAUGUUAUCGUUCAACGAAGAAGACUAUCUACAAUUUCAGACUAAUCUGUCUACCCAGGAGGCCAGGACUUCACCAACGAAUCAACAUGAAGGAAACACAGGAUUUUAUUUUUGUUUAAAGCCGUUAGAUCAUGUUUGCAGUGCUGGAAAGGGGGUACCAACUUGAUCCCAUCAACAGUGUCCUGGAGUUGGAGUGCAUUAUUGAUUCAAUGUAUCUGGAGAAGUCUUUAGAAUUUAGAUAGUUCAGUCGCAGGUGACAACACAAUUUGUGAUGGGACCAGGCACCAGCAAGUCAGGGUACGCUGAUUUUGGCUAAUAUUUGGACUAGAUGGCGACCUGGACGGAUGGACCUCACUUAUCAGUGACUUGCACUGGUGCAGCACGAAAAUGUCGUGUGCGUGUUUCUGAAAAGGAAAUAAAGCGUCGUGUCCAUUUUGUUUAGCAGUACCGGUAGAUAAGAUUAUGAUUGGAACUAUGCAAAGGCAGGGCAGAAGCAAAGUGAGCAUGCUAAGUUGCUGGGUCAGGUACUGGUUUAUCAUGUGCAGCUAUAGCAGCUAUGAACUGUGAAUGCAUGAUUGGACGGGCACAAAAAGUCUUCUCAAUAGUUCUGGGGUUACUUGGAAUCGAAUCCAUUUCUGCAUUGUCAAUCUCGUUUUCAUUGGAUUACAGUACGCCAUCAGAUGAAUUGGGAUAGGAGUAUAACUUGGCAGUGCACCUGAAACCGAAAGGCACAGUACAAGGAUAUGCUUUCUACUACGUGGAGAUGAACUUUCAGACUAUUUCAAGUUCUCUGCUCCAGUCCUAAAUAAGCUUAUCCUUCUAGUUCAAUUUUGAAGGUGGUACAAAUGAAGGAAUAGGCAAGGGGAGGUCCAUUUUUUCCAUGAAGCAAGUUUUCUUUCUUUCUUUUUCUAAACAGGCUCUAUGAAGCAAAAUUGACUUGAAUUCUACGGUAAAGUUCACAGCUGCACAUCCAUGGAAACUUAAGCAGAAGAAAUAGGAAGAUGGUUUUCAAGUUGGAUAUCUACUCUUUUCUUCUAUGUCACCUAAAUAGUUAUUAGAAAAAAUGGCAAGAUAGAUUAAUAUGAGAUAUACUAU